GGACACAGCUCAAUUGGUUAGAGCGUGGUGCUGAUAAUGCCAAGGUUGUGGCUUUGAUACCCAUAUGGACCA
This is a non-coding RNA of Podarcis lilfordi (Lilford's wall lizard), 72 nucleotides long. Lineage: Eukaryota; Metazoa; Chordata; Lepidosauria; Squamata; Lacertidae. The record is from the annotation of a GenBank genome assembly.